This 439-nucleotide ribosomal RNA is filed under the name uncultured bacterium. RNAcentral describes it as "partial 16S ribosomal RNA". It matches the Rfam family "Bacterial small subunit ribosomal RNA", at positions 339 to 795 of the family's 1533-position model. The record is from RNAcentral.
CUACGGGUGGCUCCAGUGAGGAAUAUUGCACAAUGGGGGGAACCCUGAUGCAGCAACGCCGCGUGGAGGAUGACGCAUUUCGGUGUGUAAACUCCUUUUAUAUGUCAAGAAAAUGACGGUAGCAUAUGAAUAAGCACCGGCUAACUCCGUGCCAGCAGCCGCGGUAAUACGGAGGGUGCAAGCGUUACUCGGAAUCACUGGGCAGAAAGGACGCGUAGGCGGGUUGGAAAGUCAGGUGUGAAAUCCUACAGCUUAACUGUAGAACUGCACUUGAAACUUCUAAUCUAGAGUAUGGGAGGGGGAGAUGGAAUUAGUGGUGUAGGGGUAAAAUCCGUAGAUAUCACUAGGAAUACCUAAAGCGAAGGCGAUCUCCUGGAACAUUACUGACGCUAAGGCGUGAAAGCGUGGGGAGCAAACAGGAUUAGAUACCCCCGUAGUC